CUUAUUUUGCUUUUUACAGGCAAAAUCGAACUACAGCUAACUACAGUCAUUCUUCAACAGGAUACUAUAAUCACCCUGGCACAGCCACCUGGCAUCCUCCCUCUGUGCUGCAAGUGGAAGGACCAGCUUGUCUGUUUAUUCAAGCUGGACUUUCUGGUGUUGCAGAUUUGAUAUAUCCCGAAGGCCAGUAAGAGGGGAGAAGAUUGCCCAAGCCAAAGAAUUCAUCCUUGCACCUCUCUCUCUCCCUCUAUCAAGAAUACCAUCUUUUCCCUUUAUUUCCCCCCUAAUUUCCAUGUUUUGUUAGGAGAAAGAGAAGCAUUGCUGCGGCUGAUGUUAGCCAUAGUGCUGACAAGUUUCAACAGGCCUGAAAACACCAAAUACCAAUUGAGUAGACCUCCUCCUAUCUGAAGUGUGGGUCUCUCUGUAGUUACAUGGGAAAUGCAGUCUGCACUUCUUUGGGGACAACUCAAUCUGCUUUUAAAUCCUUAGGAAGAAUCCUUUUUGCAAAGUAAUCUCUCCUCCUGUAUCCAGUUUUUAAAAAACCUCAUCAGUAAUCCUUCCUUGUUCAGGAUAUUUCACAGAAUCACAAUGAAGGUGAACGUUCCCCAUAAUUUGUAUAAACCUGAUCUCAGUUCUGUAGUUUAUGUAGUCAGCUCAGAUUAACAAUUGCAGGGAAACUGCAAUGCACAUUCCUACCCAACAACAGACCUUAACACAGAUCUGGAGGGAGGGGGGGGGGGAAGAAGUGAAUACACAAAUCUGAGUUUUCUUCUUUCAGUAGGCAGAAUACUUGUAUUAUCUUCUUCCAGUCUCCAAAUCUGCCAAUUUCCAACCCCUGCCAGGCACUUUUCGACUUCGUCUACUUUAAGAAGCACCUUUCGAAGAAAUUUAAUGUCUAGAUUGGGCAGGGGGGGGAAAUAAUAGGGGGAAUAAUGCGGGCGAAGAAAACUCUGAUGAGGGCAGAUUAAAAAAGAUGAAGGGAAAGAAUGCCUGCAGCGAGCAGAGAGGGGCGCUGAAUGAAGAAAGGGGAGGGAAAGCUGUGGAAAAAGGUGUGGAGCGGCGGAAUGCCUGGAGAGCGAUCAAGAGAGAGAGAGAGAGAGAGAGAGAAAAGGGAGCGUUGCUGGCAAGAGAAGGAGUCGUUAAAGAGGCAGCAAGGGGAAGAGGGUCCACGGGAUGGGUCGCCCCUGAGAAGUCGAGCGAAUGCUUCGGGGCAUUCUUUGACCAGUUCUUUCUGCUCGGUUCUUUCUGCACUCGAGCAGCGGCUCCGAGAGGGAAGCAGAGUAGAGAAACCGCGGUGGCAGAAAAGCAUAUGAGGAUCGCUGGAGUUUCCCCUGAAGCUCUUGUUUCGUGGGCCAUUGGUGGACAUUCCGCAGACGAAAAAUGAUAAAGGAUAAUAAAGCAUGGCCAUGGAAUGCAAGAGGAAGAAAGAAGGUCCAACCUUCAGUCUCCACCAUAUACUACCCAAUUUCCGCUCAGGAAAUCAAGGAUCAAGCAAUGGACUGGAACAGAAAUGAGAAAACAUUGGUGGAUUGCGAAAAAACUCAAGUAGAGUUGAAACUGCCCUUCUGAGUAUUCCUUCAUCCCAUCUUCUCCCACAGCAACAAUCCUGUGAGGUAAGUCAAGCAGAGAGAACAAGCGAUUGAUUGGCCGUCAGUCACCCAGGGACCUUCUGUGGUUGAAGGUGGACUACAGAUUCAGAUUAGGAGUUGGUAGUAAGUAAUCUGGCCAACAGACUCCUGCAGUAAUCUGGAUGUGAGACAACUGAAGUAUGUUUUGCUACUUCUGCUGUGUGAGGAAUCAACCAAUCCUAUGAGUAUUCAUUGAAGGAAAGU
This is a long non-coding RNA of Crotalus tigris (Tiger rattlesnake), 1832 nucleotides long. RefSeq lists it as uncharacterized. Lineage: Eukaryota; Metazoa; Chordata; Lepidosauria; Squamata; Viperidae. The transcript is spliced from 4 exons. The record is from RefSeq and is a predicted model, not a curated record.